Molecule: ribosomal RNA, 881 nt
Filed under: uncultured fungus
Lineage: Eukaryota; Fungi
Description: eukaryotic LSU rRNA
Rfam family: Eukaryotic large subunit ribosomal RNA (bases 565-881)
Source: RNAcentral
GGAAGGAUCAUUCAUAAUAAGUGUUUUAUGGCACUUUUUAAAUCCAUAUCCACCUUGUGUGCAAUGUCUGUCGUUCUCUUUUUUGAGAGCGACCAAACAUCAACUUAUUCUUUAACUCUUUGUCUGAAAAAUAUUAUGAAUAAAAUAAUUCAAAAUACAACUUUCAACAACGGAUCUCUUGGCUCUCGCAUCGAUGAAGAACGCAGCGAAAUGCGAUACGUAAUGUGAAUUGCAGAAUUCAGUGAAUCAUCGAAUCUUUGAACGCAUAUUGCGCUCUUUGGUAUUCCGAAGAGCAUGCUUGUUUGAGUAUCAGUAAACACCUCAAAGACUUCAAUUUGUUUUGAAUGGCUUUGGACUUGAGCAAUCCCAACACCAGUCUUUACGAUCGGUGGAGGGUUGCUUGAAAUGCAGGUGCAGCUGGACAUUCUCCUGAGCUAAAAGCAUAUUUAUUUAGUCCCGUCAAACGGAUUAUUACUUUUGCUGCAGCUAACAUAAAGGGAGUUUGACCGUAUUGGCUGACUGAUGCAGGAUUUCACAAGGGUCGGCAACGAUUCUUGUAAAACUCGAUCUCAAAUCAAGUAAGACUACCCGCUGAACUUAAGCAUAUCAAUAAGCGGAGGAAAAGAAACUAACAAGGAUUCCCCUAGUAACGGCGAGUGAAGCGGGAUGAGCUCAAAUUUAAAAUCUGGCUGGUUUACUAGUCCGAAUUGUAGUUUAUAGAAGCGUUUUCGGUGGCAGCCUGGGUAUAAAUCCUUUGGAAUAGGGUAUCAUAGAGGGUGAGAAUCCCGUCUUUGACUCAGUGCAUGCUACUAUGUGAUACGUUUUCAAAGAGUCGAGUUGUUUGGGAAUGCAGCUCACAAUGGGUGGUAAAUUUCAUCUAA